Molecule: long non-coding RNA, 478 nt
Filed under: Microcebus murinus (gray mouse lemur)
Lineage: Eukaryota; Metazoa; Chordata; Mammalia; Primates; Cheirogaleidae
Description: lncRNA (ENSMICG00000048721.1)
Source: RNAcentral
CUCUUUCUUUCUCUCCCCCUCCGUCUCUUCCCUCCUUCUCUCCCCCUCCCGCUCCCUUCUCCCUCUCCCUCCAAGUCUGGCACUGAACGCGAACUGUUUUGCUUUGCUCCGGGAAGAGUGCAGACACACAACGUGAGAUCCCGAGCUUUUUGCGUGGUGCAUUUAAAAUGCUUCCUUAUUUAUAUUACCCUCAUUCCCUCACCUCCCCCACCCCCUCACCAGUCCUUCCAGAUUUCCCUAGAAAUCUAUGUAAAGCGUGCGGAGGGGAAAACAUUUGCACAAAAAGUGAAGGAGCUCGCCAAGGAAGGAGCCUCCCGAAGAGAGGUGGGCGGAUGGAGAGAGGGGGCUUUUGAACAUCAGCCAUUUGACCUUGGGGGCCAGAGUUCAAAUCCUCCGGAGGGCUGAAAAGGCUGAAAAGGUAUCUUUAUCCCUUCUCCCGCCCCUACAUCUUUCAUCCUGAGCUUUAUGUUUAAUGGGG